Sardina pilchardus (European sardine) is the source of this 336-nucleotide long non-coding RNA. RefSeq lists it as uncharacterized. Lineage: Eukaryota; Metazoa; Chordata; Actinopteri; Clupeiformes; Clupeidae. The transcript is spliced from 3 exons. The record is from RefSeq and is a predicted model, not a curated record.
AACAGGGCUCCACUAAACUGAGGAUGCCAAAAAUGAGGUUCAGAAUGAAGAUGCCAAAAAGAGGCAGCAGGAAAGUGUCUCCCACCAAUGCCUUUUCUGACACAACUGAUAAGCAAUCAGAGACCUCUGCCCCUGGUAUGCCAUGUGAUGAGAGGAAUACAUCUGCGUCUGCUUCUGGACUGAAGACUCGCAAACGAUCCUUUUUCCUCAGGAUUUUCACAUGCUGCAUAGGCACAUCUGAAGCCUAGGCCAUUAUUAUUCUUAAAAAGUAUAUCUUCCCUUUCUUUCCCCAAUUGUUUCCAGUCAAAUAUAUUAAUAAAGUUUUUGCCUUCCUUA